Molecule: long non-coding RNA, 955 nt
Organism: Cyprinus carpio (common carp)
Lineage: Eukaryota; Metazoa; Chordata; Actinopteri; Cypriniformes; Cyprinidae
Exons: 2
Source: RefSeq, a predicted model, not a curated record
CUCUGACCUUUAACUUCCUGUUUAACAAGAAAAGAAACAUAAAAUUAAGGCGGGGGGAAAACGGGAAAAAGCUCCACCUCUCUCUCUCCCUCCUUUCAGCUCUUCCAGGAGUCAAAAGUCUGCCACGUCGAUUCUGAAAAAUCCACAUUUGAAAGUACGAAAGAUGCUGUGUGUUACAAACGAAUGCUGCAUAUCUUAUUUUGUUUAUCUGUUUUCAAAGACUCUGCUCCUAAUCUAAGAUGGAUUUUCUGAGUCGACGGGGGUGAAAGGGCCAGGAAACCCAACGCCUCUUGUCAUCCACAUUCUUCGCCUUCUCGUACCACCAUCAAACACUCAGAGGUUUUAAAGGACCCUCCUCUCCUUCUCCCCCACUCACCUAACACUCUUUUGGCAUCUCACACACUCGGACGUCCAGAGAAAAAGAGAGACAGAAGGAGAAAAGGAAGGAUGAAGGUUUUCGGAGGACGAUCGGAACAUCUAAUGCCAAAUCUGACUGGCACAGAUGCACGAACUUUGAGUACUGUUGGACUCAUCUCAUCUCCCCGUGAAGCGUCAUGCCUGCCCCGCUUUCCCAGUGUUCAGACUACCUGUUCAGGGCGUAGAGAUUGUACAGUAGUCUGCACAUUGGUUAGGCUGUGUGGGGGGUGCACAGUUCUGUUCAUCAACAGUCUCGUCAUCAUGUCUCUGUACGUCUUCCCAUGGAAAUGUGCAUGCCUUCAUGUGCUAAGUAAUGUCUGUGUAUUUAAGCGUCUUUGGGGAAGCGGAUUACACAGCAAGGUUAGCUAAAUCUGACAAAACUUUCCCAGGAGACAUUUAGAGAUCUCCUCUGCAGAAAAAUCAAUAAAGUUAUGCAAAUAAAGUUAAAGAAAUAAUGCUUAUCUGUUUAUUUAUGUUUAUUUUUUUUUUUUUUAUUAAUUCUAAAAAAAACUCUCACUCUGUUUGCAAGUUCUAUUGA